This 467-nucleotide ribosomal RNA is filed under the name uncultured bacterium. RNAcentral describes it as "partial 16S ribosomal RNA". It matches the Rfam family "Bacterial small subunit ribosomal RNA", at positions 28 to 507 of the family's 1533-position model. The record is from RNAcentral.
GACGAACGCUGGCGGCGUGCUUAACACAUGCAAGUCGAACGGAAAGGCUCCAGCUUGCUGGCGUACUCGAGUGGCGAACGGGUGAGUAACACGUGGGUAAUCUGCCCUGCACUCUGGGAUAAGCCUGGGAAACUGGGUCUAAUACUGGAUAUGACCUUUCUCCUUAUGGGGUUUGGUGGAAAGUUUUUCGGUGUAGGAUGAGCCCGCGGCCUAUCAGCUUGUUGGUGGGGUGAUGGCCUACCAAGGCGACGACGGGUAGCCGGCCUGAGAGGGUGAUCGGCCACAUUGGGACUGAGAUACGGCCCAGACUCCUACGGGAGGCAGCAGUGGGGAAUAUUGCACAAUGGGCGGAAGCCUGAUGCAGCGACGCCGCGUGAGGGAUGACGGCCUUCGGGUUGUAAACCUCUUUCAGCAGGGACGAAGCGUAAGUGACGGUACCUGCAGAAGAAGCACCGGCUAACUAUGGG